AGAAGUUAGGGUUUUAGUUGACGGAAUUGUGGCGGGAUCUACAAUUCUUCUUCUUCUUCUUCUGAAAAGAAACCCAAAGAUCCCUCCAUAAUUCCCUCCACUAAAACCCUAACUUCU
Molecule: non-coding RNA, 117 nt
Organism: Arabidopsis thaliana (thale cress)
Lineage: Eukaryota; Viridiplantae; Streptophyta; Magnoliopsida; Brassicales; Brassicaceae
Source: RefSeq